GCGGAGGCUCUUCGACCAGCUCUAGAACGCAUCCUGGUUGAGUGGAGUCAAUUGGAGACAGAUUUGAGCGAAGUCUCCCUCUACACCACCAGGCUGCGCUGUGUCCUGCAGCAGCUGCUGCACACACCUGCAUUCUCACCCAAGCAAGUCCAGAAGCAGUUGGAGGAGCUUAAGGUGAACCAAAUAUAUGGUAUACCAGUUGGGCUUGUUCAUCAGAAUGCAUCAUGUUGGCGAUACUCAUUUUGAGAGGAUUCAAUAGAGUUGAUGUACUUUUAAAUCCUAAAUAAACAUAAAUAUUCAGAAAUUGGGUGAAACCAAAAACUUCUUCUGCUCUCUGCUCUCUUUGUCUUUACAAGUCAUACUAACUCAUCCUAACUUUGAUCAAUGUUUGAAUCUGCAAAAAAGUAAUGCAAAUCCCUCCCUCCACAGCAACUGCAGGAGGGUGCUGGGAAAGGGGUCAAGCUGUGUGUAGCAGUGGACCAAUCAUAUCAGGCUCUGGAAGGAAAAGUCAAUGACGUCACAGCCAGGUUACUCAAAGAGCGGAUUGAAGGAGAGCAAAGAAGGUCAGCAGCGGGGAUAAUGUUUAGCAGAAUAUUUGUAGGGAAAUAAAAUGUUAAUUGAACUCCACAAUGGUGUUAAGAAGGAGAAGUUACAGGUUCUUUAAAAUCCAACAUAGUCAUAGCUGCAACUUUUUAACUACUUUUUAGAGAGCUGAAUCCAGAGAAUCUCAUUAAAUAAUAUUGCUGAAAAUGCCUUCUGGCAAUUAUUCCCUCUCUGCCGGUCUGUUUGUUGGUCUGUCUGUGGGUCUGACCGUCUCUCUCUCUCUCUCUCGGUCUCUGUCUCUGUCUCUGUCUCUGUCUCUCUCUCUCUCUCUCUCUCUCUCUCUCUCUCUCUCUCUCUCUCUCUCUCUCUCUCUCUCUCUCUCUCUCUCUCACACUCUCUCUCUCUCUCCCGCCCCCUCUCUCUCUCUCCCUCCCCUACCUUCCAUGCUGAUCCUUCUCUCGGUCCCGGUGGCUGCAGGUGGGAGGAGGCGAGGCUGGAGGUGGUGGCGGCCGUCCGGGGGACUGGCCAGACGCUGGCCCUGUGGCAGGGCUACGUGCAGCAGCGCGACAGCUGCACUCUGGCUCUGCAGCAGGCGCGGCUCCAGUGGGAGGAGCCACGGAAGGCCCCUCCCGCCCCACAUCGGGUUGCACACACCAGUGGGGGCUCCACCGAGGACUUCAUUGAGGACUUGCAACGCAGCGGAGGGGAUGUGGCGGCGGCCGCACGGCCUUUGA
This 1277-nucleotide long non-coding RNA is filed under the name Gadus morhua (Atlantic cod). Its description in RNAcentral is "lncRNA (ENSGMOG00000035966.1)". Lineage: Eukaryota; Metazoa; Chordata; Actinopteri; Gadiformes; Gadidae. The record is from RNAcentral.